Molecule: long non-coding RNA, 2628 nt
Organism: Onychostoma macrolepis
Lineage: Eukaryota; Metazoa; Chordata; Actinopteri; Cypriniformes; Cyprinidae
Exons: 4
Source: RefSeq, a predicted model, not a curated record
GGAUGGAUAGAUGAUAGAUGAUAGACAGAUGAUGGAUGGAUAGAAGAGUAAAUAGAUAUUUAAAUUGGUGGACAAAUUGGAUGGAUGGAUGGAUGGGUGGGUGGAUGGAUGGCUAGAUUGAUGGGUAGAAAAUGGGUAGGUGGUUAGAUGGAUGGAUAGAAGAGUAAAUAAAUAUGUAAAUGGGUGGAAACGUAGAUGGAUGGAUGGAUGGAUGGGUGGGUGGAUGGAUGGCUAGAUAGAUGGGUAGAAAGAUGGGUGGGUGGAUGGAUGAUGGACAGACGGAUGGAUGAUAAAUGGGUCGUAAAUGGGUGGCUAGAUGGAUGGAUAGAAGAGUAUAUACGUAAAUGGGUGGAUAGAUAGAUAGAUAGAUGGAUGGAUCAUAGAUACUGUAGAUAGAUGGGUAGAAAGAUGGGUGGGUAGAUGGAUGGAUGAUAGAUUGAUUGAUGGAUAGAUAGAUGGAUAGACUGAUGGGUCGAAAGAUGGAUGGGUAGAUGGAUGAUGGAUAGGUGGAUGGGUCGAUAGAUAUGUUGAUGAGAAGAAAGAAUGAUAGAAUGAUAUACAGAUUCAUUAGUAGAUAGAUAGAUAGAUAGAUAGAUAGAUAGAUAGAUAGAUAGAUAGAAUGAUGGAUAGAUGGAUAGAGAUGUAUCUAGAUAUCUAAAUGUCAAAGGCAGAAAGAGACUCCUAAGUAUUUUUUGCUCUGAGUCAAGUGAUAAUCGUCUCUCAGACGGCCUUGUCCUCACUUUUCUCUCCGCCUGGUUUUGAAUACUGUGAAUUUAGACAUGUGAGUGUAGCAGCACACAAGGGUCAUUAGAGACGCGGCGUCCUCAAUCAAAUCCACGACCCAGUAACACAGCCAGAGAACAACUAAUGAUGCUGUUCACACAAUGUCUCCACAACUACUUUUACCAAGGUUUCCAUGAAACGCAGAGGAAAAUGUCAUGCUAAUAAUAUUUCACCUGAUAUAGUAAUUCUGUGCACCUCUUAAUCUCUAACGUCAAGAGUUAUUCUGCAGUAAAGCCACAAGAGACCGUGUUGAAUUUGCCAUGCUUGUGACUGCAACAUUAUUAUAAUGAUAAAAUGUAUAAUGUUUUAUUUAUUAUUAUUAUUAUUAAUAAUUAUUAUCAUUAAUAUUAGUAAAAAAUUAUUUUAUUAUUAUUAUCAUUUGUUAUUAUUUGAACAUGGCUCGUCCAAUCCAAGUUGCUUUAAAACUUUAAUUUUUCCCCAUAUCAUCGUGACUUAAUUUCUUAACUGUAAAACUCUUUUUCUCUCAUCAGCACACGCGAAGGAGUCCAGAUAUGAAAGAUACUGUUAGGAGAUCAUCAAGAAGACCAAUUAGAAUCCAUUACCUGAAACAAUGCGCGGUGUCAACCACGUGGCAAUUAGUACCGCGCCGUAAUUAACUCUGAGCUAUUCUGGACGAAUGUCUGGUGCGGGAUCAUGCAAAUGUUUUUCUUCAUUAAUAUUGCAAAUCAUCCCUGUUGUGCAUCAUUUUGCUUGCACUAACGUCACAACUGGAGAAUUUUAGUGACGUGUGUUUACGCAGUAAAUCAAUUGAUUUUAGAGUUGCGUCAUCACUUUAAAGGAAUAAUUCACCCCAAAAUUUUAAUUUGCUGAAAUUUUACUAACCCUCAAGCCAACCAAGAUGUUUGUUUCUUCAUCAGAUCAGAUGUUUCUUUCUUCAUUUGUUUCUUCAUCAAGCGUUAUUAUGGAUUAUUAACUUGUAUUUUAGUUCAAAACUAAAGAUUUGUUUCUUUUGUUUCUAACUUUGUUAGAUUUGUUUCUUACAAACAUGCAGCUUUUAUCUUUUCAAGAUGUUAACUGAUGGACUGGAGUGGUGUGGAUUACUUGUGGAUUAUUGUGAUGUUUUUAUCAGCUGUUUGGACUCUCAUUCUGAAGGCACCCAUUCACUGCAGAGUAUCCAUCGGUGAGCAAGUGAUGCAAUGCUACAUUUCUCCAAAAAUAAUGAAGAAACAAACUCAUCUGCAUCUUGGAUGGCCUAAAGGAUACCGAAGCCCGAAACGGCCGAAUACAACGAGAAAUUCAGCAAAUGAUUGGUUCGUGGAAGCCGUUUUUAGCAUAAUGGCUUCAGGGCUAAAGGCUCUUGAUGGAGCUCUGAGAGGAUGUGGUUCAUGAACAGUGCAAAAAGAGUCACAGGACCUUAGAUCUCAUCCGCUAGGACUUAAAAGGCAUCUGUAGACCCUUGAGAAACUUCCUGAAUCCUAACACUCACUGAUGUCUUCUGAGGGACCGACUGAUCAGGACAAGCGCGCCAGUGUGGGUGUUGAUGUCGAGUGAAAGAUCAGAACAGCAAGCGUCUGCGCUCGAUCUCUGGACUACAUUGUGGAUAUUUUUAGAACACGGUUCCUUUGAAGAGAGAGAAUGAAGCUCCGGCCGCUGUCUGAUCUUGAUGUGAUUUCUCUCUCUUUCUCCCGCAAUGACCGCGUCCUCCCCUCACGAACAUGAAAGACGCCUGAAACAUUCAUGCAUUUCAGUCAUUCUUGCAGCGCGGGGCAGUGUGGCCUUGCAUUUUUAAUGGAGAAUAGAAUGUAAAGAAAACGUUUACCUGCAUCAAUUGUGUAGAUCCAGACAUGCAUUUACCGAAGUGCGGCUACAUUUAUCUUAUAUAGA